RNAcentral lists this ribosomal RNA (686 nucleotides) under uncultured Bacillota bacterium. RNAcentral's name for it is "bacterial SSU rRNA". It matches the Rfam family "Bacterial small subunit ribosomal RNA", at positions 192 to 866 of the family's 1533-position model. The record is from RNAcentral. Lineage: Bacteria; Bacillati; Bacillota.
AUAUCAAGUUAAAAGGCGCUACGGCGUCACCUAGAGAUGGAUCCGCGGUGCAUUAGUUAGUUGGUGGGGUAAAGGCUUACCAAGACGAUGAUGCAUAGCCGAGUUGAGAGACUGAUCGGCCACAUUGGGACUGAGACACGGCCCAAACUCCUACGGGAGGCUGCAGUAGGGAAUCUUCCACAAUGGGCGCAAGCCUGAUGGAGCAACGCCGCGUGUGUGAUGAAGGCUUUCGGGUCGUAAAGCACUGUUGUAUGGGAAGAAAUGCUAAAAUAGGGAAUGAUUUUAGUUUGACGGUACCAUACCAGAAAGGGACGGCUAAAUACGUGCCAGCAGCCGCGGUAAUACGUAUGUCCCGAGCGUUAUCCGGAUUUAUUGGGCGUAAAGCGAGCGCAGACGGUUGAUUAAGUCUGAUGUGAAAGCCCGGAGCUCAACUCCGGAAUGGCAUGGGAAACUGGUUAACUUGAGUGUUGUAGAGGUAAGUGGAACUCCAUGUGUAGCGGUGGAAUGCGUAGAUAUAUGGAAGAACACCAGUGGCGAAGGCGGCUUACUGGACAACAACUGACGUUGAGGCUCGAAAGUGUGGGUAGCAAACAGGAUUAGAUACCCUGGUAGUCCACACCGUAAACGAUGAAUACUAGGUGUUAGGAGGUUUCCGCCUCUUAGUGCCGAAGCUAACGCAUUAAGUA